GUGGCUGGACUCAGACACAUCACGCUCCAGUUUGGGUUCCAAGGUGCUUCUCUCUGGAUUUUCACCUGCCUUGCCAAAAAUGAUUGAUUACGCCGGGCCGACUGGGUGUCCGGCAAUACCCAACAAAUGACUUUGGCCCCUAACAGCAGGCCUUGGCCAGAUAGAAAUCAAUAUUUCACCAUUAAAAUCUAUCAAAGAAGAGUUAAGGCACCAUCUGUCCCUGCCGCCUCUCUAUGUAACUGAGUCUCGGAAAGAAUAAAAUCUGACCUGGAUUGAGAAUCUUACUUCCUGAUUUCCAAGUUACAACACUGUACUGAAAGACCGAAAGAAAAUGGGAAUCCUGGGACCACUCCAUGACAGUCCUUCAAAGGUCAAACUUGGAUUCAGUAAAGACAUCCUGGCAGAGAGAGCUACAUGAUUUCAAAAUAAAGGAUCCAAGGCUUAUUAUGUGCCACCUGUGUCCCCAGUGCUCCAUGUGUUUUACCCUCAGGACGACCCGCAAAGCGGGCUCCUCGCCCCUUGCAGGUGGGGCCGGAGCGUCCAGAUGUGGCCCUCCAGAUGAUCCGCUCUUCACUGCCGUCCCUACAGGGAAGUUCACCGCCGAGAGGCAACCACACUACAACGUCCCUAUGUGAGUGUAAGCUGAGUGGGGCCCAGGCGAUCGUCGCUAAGGCUUCCUGGAGGAGACCAUCCCUGAGCUGAGCAGAAUGGAGACCUGGGGGGGGGGGGGCAGAGUUUCUGCCCUUCAGUGGGGGGAGGGCAGGGAUGGAGAGGUGAGCAGGGACGGGUCCGCCUGUGUCUCUGUCUCUCUCUCUCUCUCUUUUCCAUGAGUAAAUAAAAAUUAAAAAAAAAAAAAACAACAACAAACACACCAUUGCCGUCCCCAGUGAUGC
Molecule: long non-coding RNA, 893 nt
Filed under: Canis lupus familiaris (dog)
Lineage: Eukaryota; Metazoa; Chordata; Mammalia; Carnivora; Canidae
Description: lncRNA (ENSCAFG00845005912.1)
Source: RNAcentral